AUGUCCUCCUCACGGCUCAAUGUAUCAGAGCCACUGACCUCUGACAAGCGUCAGUUCAACUAUCCACCCAACCCACCCGUCCGUUCCAUCAGUCCUGCAUCCACUAGCACGAAAAAACCCACAACCCCCCAACAAACCACUCACGCUGUUCCUACUAAGCAUCAAGUACACCAUACCCUCCCUCGAUGUACAACAAUACAGGCUACAACUGCUCAAAGCACGUUAGAACACGUUAUAUCAACUACGUCAGAGCCUAAAACGGACUCUACACUCAAUCCCCAACUGACAACAACUACGUCUCAGUGGGCAUCAAUAAACCUGCGUCAUACGACCACCUCUCCGACGGGUGAACCUGAUACAACAACUGAUACUUUAAACCAAAGAAUUCCAACCCCCCCACCUGUUUAUAUAACCACAGCCCACCCAAGCUCUACAACUGACUACUUUGACUCUACUAUGACCUCUGUCCCAAUCAACAAAGCUCUAAGUUCCUCAACUACCCAGCAGACUUUGGAACUAAAAACUACAGCUAUACAGACUCCAGACUCUUUGGCAAUGGCUUCUCAAAAGUCUAUGCAAUCUCCAGGUUCCUCAACUACUUUGAGACUAAAAACUACAGCUUCAAAGAAUACAAACUCUUUGGCGAUGGGUUCCCAAGACACUAUGCAAUCUUCAAGUUCCUCAACUACCCAAAAGUCUUUGGAACUAAAAACUUCAGCUCUACAGAAUACAAACACUUUGGUGACGGCUUCCCAAGAUGCAAUGCAAUCUUCAAGUUCCUCAACUACCCAACAGUCUUUGAGACUAAAAACUACAUCUCUACAGAAUACAAACUCUUUGGCGACAGCUUCUCAAGACACUAGGCAAUCUUCAAGUUCCUCAACUAUCCAACAGCAUUUAGGAUUACAAACUUCAACUCUACAGACUACAAACUCUUUGGCUUCUCAAAAGUCUAUGAAAUCUUUUACCAAGGUCUUGACAAGUACCCAACAACCCUUAAACCAAACUACAGAGCGAGCUACUUCGCUUUAUGAGUCCAAGUUGGAAGAGUAUCCAAAAACUACAGUGCAAACAACUGUUAUUGAGACAGUUACCGCCCAGACUUAUGCACCUUUCCAAUCUGAAGCAUCAACUACCACGAAACCCUUAAUUUCUGCCAACGUUCCCUUACAAACAUUGACCCAAAUUACAGCUGCAUAUGGGACAAUACAAGCUAAAACUGCUCAAAGCACAUCAGAGACUAAAAUGGGCUCUACACCCAAUCCCCAACAGACGACUACUACAUCAAAGUGGACAACCAUAGACCCUUUAACUUCUACAGAUGUUCCCUUACAAACCUCAACACAAACUACCCCUGCAUAUGAGACUUCUAAAUGGCCUUUACAAACCCCAACACAAACUACUACUCUAUCCCAACCAACACAGACAACUAGCAGUGACACAAGAACCACCACGAAUCCUACAGUCACCACUGAUGGUUCUACAGCCCCCAGAUACCUGUCCCUAAGUUUCACACACACUCGACUGGGCAACUCCCCAACCACCAGUAGUUUGAGUUCUUCUCUAACUGCCCCAACUAGCAGCAUGGUGGACAGUCAACCGUACCCCAACGACACGAAGGGUUACAUCAGCCGGAACAUCACUACGGGUGACGCACCUCAACCUGGUGGGGAUGGAAACUUGAUGUCAGUGUGGCAUUUGGCGGCCAACACUGUACUGGUGGCUUUAGCGACCUGCGCUACCAUCACAUUCUGCUGCUGUUGUUCGGUGUUUGUGGCUCUGAGCUGGAGAGGCCGUAGGCGUCGGAAGGGCAGGUACAGGACAAAUCUGAGGUGCAAGAGAGGAUCAAUGAGACUCAUCAAGUACGUUAUCGUAAGAGAGAGUUCGUAA
This is a long non-coding RNA of Cyprinus carpio (common carp), 1890 nucleotides long. NCBI's taxonomy places the organism in Eukaryota, Metazoa, Chordata, Actinopteri, Cypriniformes, Cyprinidae. The record is from Ensembl.